ACCUGCCCUAUGAUUAAAAAUUAAAUGGCUGCGGUAUUUUGACCGUGCAAAGGUAGCAUAAUAAUUAGUUUUUUAAUUGGGAACUGGUAUGAAAGGUCGAACGAGAAAGAGACUGUCUCAAUUUAAUUUAAAUUAGAAUUUUAUUUUUAAGUAAAAAAGCUUAAAUAUAUUUAAAAGACGAGAAGACCCUAUAGAGUUUUAUAUUAAGAUAAUUAUACGGGAAAUUAAAGGAUUAGUUUUUUUUUAUAAUUAUUAAAAUAUUUGGUUGGGGCGAUUAAAAAAUUUAAUGAACUUUUUUUAAAUUAUAACAUUGAUUUAUGAAUAAGUGAUCCAUAUUUAAUGAUUAUAAGAUUA
Molecule: ribosomal RNA, 354 nt
Filed under: Nanos nitens
Lineage: Eukaryota; Metazoa; Arthropoda; Insecta; Coleoptera; Scarabaeidae
Description: partial 16S ribosomal RNA
Source: RNAcentral